Long non-coding RNA from Manduca sexta (tobacco hornworm), 462 nucleotides. RefSeq lists it as uncharacterized. The record is from RefSeq and is a predicted model, not a curated record. Lineage: Eukaryota; Metazoa; Arthropoda; Insecta; Lepidoptera; Sphingidae. The transcript has 3 exons.
UAUUAAAGUUACCAACAUCUACAAUACAACCGAGUUGGUCACGACGACCUUCAUGGCCGAUAGAGCCGAAGAAUCAAAUAUUUUCGAACAGAUUGAACAUCGGCAGACUUCUAGAUCAGAUUCUACAGAACUAGAAGAUAUUUGUAUUUUUCAUCAUGUGGAGACGUCUUAAGACAACCGCUGGAGCACGUUGGCAAAUUUACUGUGCCAGGCUAUACCAGACCUACGUCCCCGUGGGCUGCCCAAGAAGCGUUCGCCUCGCGUCCUAUAGGUGGACAUGGGAGGAUGCGCAAGACCGAGCGAAGUGGAGGCUAGAAUCAGGAAGGUCGAUACUGGCACUAGAUCAGAUUUGAAAAUAUAGACUGAAAAAGACCAGAUGUCAAGUCAAAUCAAGAUGCCUUGCUACAAUCCGUCACGUUAAUAUUGUGUAUGGGAAUGAUUAUGCUAGCGAUAGACGUAUCA